This 396-nucleotide ribosomal RNA is filed under the name uncultured bacterium. RNAcentral's name for it is "bacterial SSU rRNA". It matches the Rfam family "Bacterial small subunit ribosomal RNA", at positions 30 to 424 of the family's 1533-position model. The record is from RNAcentral.
AUUGAACGCUGGCGGCAUGCUUUACACAUGCAAGUCGAACGGCAGCACGGGGGCAACCCUGGUGGCGAGUGGCGAACGGGUGAGUAAUAUAUCGGAACGUACCCGGAAAUGGGGGAUAACGUAGCGAAAGUUACGCUAAUACCGCAUAUGCCCUAAGGGGGAAAGCGGGGGACUCGCAAGAACCUCGCGUUUUCGGAGCGGCCGAUAUCGGAUUAGCUAGUAGGUGAGGUAAAGGCUCACCUAGGCGACGAUCCGUAGCUGGUCUGAGAGGACGACCAGCCACACUGGAACUGAGACACGGUCCAGACUCCUACGGGAGGCAGCAGUGGGGAAUUUUGGACAAUGGGCGCAAGCCUGAUCCAGCCAUGCCGCGUGAGUGAAGAAGGCCUUCGGGUU